UCACCGCGCUGGGGCGGGCGGCCGCGCGCGGGGAGCGGGCUGAGCUCGGCACCGAGCGGGGGCGCACGGCUCGGGGGACCCAGGCCCUGCCACCUUCCCUCCGCUCCCGGGCUCCGUCCUCACUUUCCAGCCGUGGAAGGACGAGAAGCGGGAGCCAUGCAGUCGGAAUCAGGGAUCGUGCCGGAUUUCGAAGUCGGGGAGGAGUUUCACGAAGAGCCCAAAACCUAUUACGAACUCAAAAGUCAACCCCUGAAGAGCAGCAGUUCCGCGGAGCAUCCUGGGGCCUCCAAGCCUCCGAUAAGCUCCUCCAGUAUGACAUCACGCAUCUUGCUACGCCAGCAACUCAUGCGUGAACAGAUGCAGGAGCAGGAGCGCAGGGAACAGCAGCAGAAGCUGCAGGCGGCCCAGUUCAUGCAACAGAGAGUCCCCGUGAGUCAGACACCAGCCAUAAACGUCAGUGUGCCCACCACCCUUCCCUCUGCCACCCAGGUGCCGAUGGAAGUCCUUAAG
Carlito syrichta (Philippine tarsier) is the source of this 510-nucleotide RNA transcript. It is a transcript of the gene named microphthalmia-associated transcription factor pseudogene, with no coding region annotated. The transcript is spliced from 2 exons. The record is from RefSeq and is a predicted model, not a curated record. NCBI's taxonomy places the organism in Eukaryota, Metazoa, Chordata, Mammalia, Primates, Tarsiidae.